CAAAGUUAUAGGGUCAAGUGACUAAGUGCAUGUGGUGGAUGCCUUGGC
This 48-nucleotide ribosomal RNA is filed under the name uncultured Comamonadaceae bacterium. Its description in RNAcentral is "partial 23S ribosomal RNA". The record is from RNAcentral. Lineage: Bacteria; Pseudomonadati; Pseudomonadota; Betaproteobacteria; Burkholderiales; Comamonadaceae.